Molecule: RNA transcript, 3314 nt
Organism: Ochlerotatus camptorhynchus
Lineage: Eukaryota; Metazoa; Arthropoda; Insecta; Diptera; Culicidae
Exons: 7
Source: RefSeq, a predicted model, not a curated record
UCUCCCUGCGAUCCCACAGAAAUUGGCCAUCAGUGUUGCUAAAUCCCGGCAAUAAAGUCAACAGCAAGUGAAAUUUGUGAUCGAUUUGUGAUUGAAAUCCGCAGUGCCGUGUGCGAAAUUUCACCGUCUUUCUUUAUCUCUCUCUCUUCCAAAAUGUGAUAUCCCACGGGAAAACCGAAGAAGAUUCAAAUCAAUAAGAAGAAAAAAAAAUCAAUCCAAAAACCUCCAUUGGCAUGCCCCUUGAAAAUGCUCCCCCCGAGAAGCACCUCCGCAGAAGUGUGACCAUCCAUCUGUCGCCACAUUCACGGCUGCUGUGAAUGCUUCCGAAGCGCAAACGUAAACGCUACCGCCGCAUCAACUCUAGUCAUCCACCGCCGGCAAAGGCUUCAAACUGGAGCUUCUACAGCGAGUCAUGUUCCUGCUGGGGUGGACCCUGGUCCUCGGGCUAGUGGAAACCACCAGCCCCCUCAGCGUGGUCCACCAUCCCCAGCAGCAGCAGCAGCAGCAGCAAAAGCAGCAAUCGCAAUCUUCCGGGCUCGGUAGUCCCGAGGGGCUGAUCAUCGAGGAUUCGCCGAUCGCCCCCUCGUCGCAGUACAUCGUCCAGAAGGACGUCUGGAACGGAGGAAGUGCCAGCAGUAGCAAUCGUCACCUUCACCAUCACAAUAGUCAACAGUCCCCGCACUCAUCAUCCUCUAGUGGUAGUGAUAGUGCCCCUAGCGAUGUCCCCCAUCGAUCCCCCCUGAUUCCCGGCGGUAGAAGUAACGAUACUUUCCGUUCUUUCAUCCCAGGAACGGGAGGCGGAGGUAACGGAGGAUCGUCAGGUGGUUCGCACGGUGGUGGUGGUGGUGGUGGUGGAGGUGGUUUCAGCAGCUUCUUCGGCUUGAGCGGCGGCGGUGAGUGGACACUGAUGGAUUGCUUCUCGCUGCGGAGAACCCACCAUCUGUACUACCAAAUCGGCAGUGGGUUGUUCUUCUUGGCCUUCCUGGCCCCGAAUGCCCCCUUCGGGAUGCUGUGGCUGCGGUGUAUGGUCAUUGCCGGGAGCGUGCUGCUCAUCAUCUGGGGCUGGCAGGUCGAGUGCACGAUGGACGCCGUCAUCUGGGCCAGCUUGUUCCUGAUCAUCAAUGCGAUCUACGUGGGGGCGCUGCUGUGCAAGCUGCGGCCGGUCAAGUUCGAGAAGGAGAUCGAAGCGGUCUACGUGGCCCUAUUCAAACCCCUCCGGGUGUCGCGUCAUCAGUUCAAGAAGGUGCUCAACUGCAUGAAGCUGGUCCGGUCGCUCAAGUACCAGGAGAUCUACGCCCAGGAGAAGGUCACCAAGGUGGACAGCCUUUCGUUGGUCCUGUCGGGGAAGCUCGUGGUUUCCCAGAAUCAAAAGGCGCUGCACAUAGUUUUUCCGCACCAGUUCCUGGAUUCGCCCGAGUGGUUCGGAGUGUCUACGGAUGACUACUUCCAGGUGUCAAUUAUGGCCAUGGAAGAGUCCCGGGUCCUGAUCUGGCACCGGGACAAGCUGAAACUGUCAAUUAUGGCGGAACCGUUCCUGCAGGCGGUGUUCGAUCACAUCCUCGGCCGGGACGUCGUCAAGAAGCUGAUGCAGGUGACGCAGGUCAGCGAAACGAUGGCCCAGAGCAAUGGGUACAUCUCGUCCGGCUACGGCGAAGAUGCAGAGGACAAACCGAUGCUGGUGAUGAAGAACAGCAAAUCCAGCGACAACGGAGGCCACGGCCUAACGGCGCUCAUCAACCGGCAGCUGCAGGAGGAGAGCGUCCCCCUGCUGCUGAAUCCGGCCAACCCGACGCCGCUGAUGUCCCUGCACAUGCGCCUACUGCAUUCGGUCGAGAACAAAUUCAUCAAAAAGAUCUACGACGUGUGACGACCGGACCGGAUGCCGCCAUGGCAACUGGCGACCGCCAACGAACGAAAACCGGAUCGGCGCAGAAUAUGAGAAAAAACAAUCAACGAAUGUUACACACAUUUUGUCUAGUCCUUUAAAUUUUGGUGUUUUAGUUUCGUGUCUUUUGCGUUCUUAUCUUUUUUUUUUAAUUUUUGUAAAACCUCAAACAUCGAACCAGCGGCAACCGAAGCGGCAAUGAAGCGGCAACGAUUUUUUACACAAAUCUACUUGUUUUUUUUAUUUGCUGCCUGUUUUUGAAUCCGCUAUUUUUCGCAGCAGCGGACCCGAACGCGUGGCGCCUCGGCCGGAUCGACGAAGCGGACCACGAGACGGCCGUCUAAUAUUAGGCCUGGCGGUGUGCCCCCUACUACCAAGUGGAUCCACUCCGGAGCAUCAUUCCGCUGGACGUGGAUUGGACGCGGCUUGAGGAGCAGAACGGCGGCAACUGAAAAGAGUCGAUUUCGUUCCGACAGGGCGGACACACCGGAACCAGGUUUAGGUCUGAGAAUAAAACAAUAGGAUAUAGUUUGUAAUGUUGCUGCAAAGUUGCGUUUAUUUUCCACACUUAGAUAGUAGAGUAAAGUUCGAAAAAACUGUGCUUUUAAAUUGAGAAUAGGAUGUAGUUUCGGAAUAUUGGUGCACCGACGAGCGCAACUUACUCACAGUGAAUGUCAGCUUAGUUUCAGCGUUCUGUGUUGUACGGAGGUUUAAUGAUGUGCAAAACAAAUAACUUGGUCCUACUUGAAUGUGAAAGCCUUACUAAAUAGUGAUUUUGAGUUAAACAUAAAAUCUGCUCCGAUCUAUUUAUUGCUUUUCGUCUGCACCUAGAUGGGAAAAUACACCUAGUAAUUUAACAAAUUUCAAUCUAACCAGAAAUGAAGCUGUUGUUUCUCAAUCAAAGGACAUUUAGAACGAAACAAAAACAUGUAAAUAACUGAAUUGCAAAAAAACAAUUAGAGCAACAAAUUGAAACCAAAAAAUAAAAACAGAACCCCUAUAGGAUAUUGUUGAAGCAGUAAAACAAAAAUAAAAACUCUUGAUGUUUGAGGUUAUUGUGUACAAUACAAACACAACAAAAUAGCAUUUUAGAUUUAGCGAACGACGAACAGGAUGAGGAUGAGUUUUAUUUUCCUAGAAAAGUUGAACCUGACUACAAUGAAAGCGAAACUCUACAUCAUAUAUCGAUAUGGGAUUGUGUUUGAUGUGAACCAUUUUAGUCGUCGAAUGAACAAAAACACACACUCUUAGUACGUACUACUAAACGCAGUAAACUAAAGAAUAAUGUUAGGACAAAGUGUAGUGUGAUAGUAUGGCAAACAAUGAACUUGUUGAUAACAUUAGAUAGGUGACCUAAAAAGAAAACUCUAAACCAACAGAAAAGGAACGAUAAAAUAAAAUAACAAGAUCACAACACAAAAUUAACUAA